RNAcentral lists this ribosomal RNA (468 nucleotides) under uncultured bacterium. RNAcentral's name for it is "partial 16S ribosomal RNA". It matches the Rfam family "Bacterial small subunit ribosomal RNA", at positions 28 to 507 of the family's 1533-position model. The record is from RNAcentral.
GACGAACGCUGGCGGCGUGCUUAACACAUGCAAGUCGAACGGAAAGGCCCUGCUUUUGUGGGGUGCUCGAGUGGCGAACGGGUGAUUAACACGUGAGUAACCUGCCCUUGACUUUGGGAUAACUUCAGGAAACUUGGUCUAAUACCGGAUAGGAGCUCCUGCUGCAUGGUGGGGGUUGGAAAGUUUCGGCGGUUGGGGAUGGACUCGCGGCUUAUCAGCUUGUUGGUGGGGUAGUGGCUUACCAAGGCUUUGACGGGUAGCCGGCCUGAGAGGGUGACCGGCCACAUUGGGACUGAGAGACGGCCCAGACUCCUACGGGAGGCAGAAGUGGGGAAUAUUGCACAAUGGGCGGAAGCCUGAUGCAGAAACGCCGCGUGCGGGAUGACGGCCUUCGGGUUGUAAACCGCUUUCGCCUGUGACGAAGCGUGAGUGACGGUAAUGGGUAAAGAAGCACCGGCUAACUACGUG